GGAUUCCCCUAGUAACUGCGAGUGAAGCGGGAAAAGCUCAAAUUUUGAAUCUGGCAGUCUUUUUGGCUGUCCGAGUUGUAAUCUAGAGAAGCGUCUUCUGUGCUGGCCCGUGUACAAGUUUCCUGGAAGGGAGCAUCAUAGAGGGUGAGAAUCCCGUCUUUGACAUGGACUACCAGUGCUGUGUGAUGCGCUCUCGACGAGUCGAGUUGUUUGGGAAUGCAGCUCAAAAUGGGUGGUAAAUUCCAUCUAAAGCUAAAUACAGGCGAGAGACCGAUAGCGAACAAGUACCGUGAGGGAAAGAUGAAAAGAACUUUGGAAAGAGAGUUAAACAGUACGUGAAAUUGCUGAAAGGGAAACGCUUGAUGUCAGUCACGUCGGUCAGGGAUCAACCUUGCUUCAUCGCUGGGCGUACUUUCCUGGUUUGACGGGUCAGCAUCAGUUUUGGUCAUCAUACAAGGGCAGUAGGGAAUGUGGCACUCCUUGGAGUGUGUUAUAGCCUUUUUGUCACAUGUGGUGAUCAGGACCGAGGAACUCAGCACGGCUUUUUGCUUGUGCUCGGGAUGCUGGCUUAAUGGCCUUAACCAACCCUUCUUGAAACACGAACCAAGAAUUCUAACAUGCCUGGCAAUUGUUUGGGUUGAAAACCUCAACCGCGUAAUGAAAGUGAAGUCGAGACCUCUGUCAUGAGGGCAUCGACCGCCGGACCUGAGUCUCU
This 715-nucleotide ribosomal RNA is filed under the name Boletaceae sp. Its description in RNAcentral is "LSU rRNA". It matches the Rfam family "Eukaryotic large subunit ribosomal RNA", at positions 72 to 780 of the family's 3401-position model. Lineage: Eukaryota; Fungi; Basidiomycota; Agaricomycetes; Boletales; Boletaceae. The record is from RNAcentral.